UACGGGGGGGGCAAGCGUUGUUCGGAAUUACUGGGCGUAAAGGGCUCGUAGGCGGUCAACUAAGUCAGACGUGAAAUCCCUCGGCUUAACCGGGGAACUGCGUCUGAUACUGGAUGGCUUGAGUUCGGGAGAGGGAUGCGGAAUUCCAGGUGUAGCGGUGAAAUGCGUAGAUAUCUGGAGGAACACCGGUGGCGAAGGCGGCAUCCUGGGCCGACACUGACACUGAGGAGCGAAAGCCAGGGGAGCAAACGGG
RNAcentral lists this ribosomal RNA (253 nucleotides) under uncultured bacterium. RNAcentral describes it as "partial 16S ribosomal RNA". It matches the Rfam family "Bacterial small subunit ribosomal RNA", at positions 524 to 776 of the family's 1533-position model. The record is from RNAcentral.